GAACAACAGGUCAUGGCAGUGCGGGUUGGACACGUGUUUGUGCUAUCAUUGCUUCGUUUCUUCAUAAUUGCUGCUUGCUGGCCCUUGUGGCACUGUACCGAGAGACGGAUCCCCCUUGAAGCUGUUCAUGCAUCAUGAAAUACUAGUGUUGCGUCAUGUUAGUUUGAUUAAAUCCGUGUCAAGCUCCCCAUUCUUCUUUGCCUCCCCAUCUUCAGUGCAUUGAUCUCUGUCACGACCAUGGAUGGAUCAAUCUCCUUCAGGACUGUCACAAUGGCCACUAUACAAUGGACUGUGUGUAUGGGCGCCCCUUCCUUUAGAAUAAUGGCCUGUAUGCUAGCGAGCCUUCCACAUAAGCUGUAUAUACACGCAUCAAUAAUUCGUUGCUCUUUUUUUCCCAUAGCUCUUUUUUUCUUUAGCUUUUUUCUUUCUUUCUUUUGACUGAAGCAAGAAUUUCUGCAUUAUCAUUAUUAUUCUCAUGUGUUUUCGUCUUUUCUUGCUGGAAAAGUGAAUGAUGAAAGUCUUCGUUAUGUAAUUUUCUCUCCUUCCAGGGAUUCACUAAUUUUUCAUUCUCCAUUGUCACUCUUCCAUGCUGGGCUUCAAUUUUCUUUUCUUUUUUAAUGUCUUUUUUUUUUUUUGUCUUUUACAAUCUUUUGUUGCCUGUCUUUGCACUAGUUUUGAGCAUGAUUUUAGUGUUUUAUCUGUCUAUAUCUAUGUUUAGUUUUCUAUUGAUUUAACCUGCCCCUCCUUGUUUACAUAUAUGUAGAUAGGUAGGUAGGUAGAUAGAUAGAUAGAUAGAUAGAUAGAUAGGUCGAUAAAUAUAUAGAUAGGUAGAUAUUAGGUAUAUGCGUAUAUGAUAGAUAGGUAGAUAGAUAAAUUUGUAGAUAGAAGAUAUAUAAAUAUGUAGGUAGAUCGAUAGAUAAUUGGAUAGAUAGAUAGAUAGAUAGAUAGAUAGAUAGAUAGAUGUGCAAAUAGAUAGAUAGACAGAUAGAUAGAUAGAUGGAUAGAUAGAUGUGCAAAU
This is a long non-coding RNA of Scylla paramamosain (green mud crab), 1018 nucleotides long. RefSeq lists it as uncharacterized. The transcript has 3 exons. The record is from RefSeq and is a predicted model, not a curated record. NCBI's taxonomy places the organism in Eukaryota, Metazoa, Arthropoda, Malacostraca, Decapoda, Portunidae.